Molecule: ribosomal RNA, 492 nt
Filed under: uncultured bacterium
Lineage: Bacteria
Description: partial 16S ribosomal RNA
Rfam family: Bacterial small subunit ribosomal RNA
Source: RNAcentral
AGUGAACGCUGGCGGUAGGCCUAACACAUGCAAGUCGAACGGCCGCACAGUAAGAGCUUGCUCUUACGGGUGGCGAGUGGCGGACGGGUGAGGAAUACAUCGGAAUCUACUUUUUCGUGGGGGAUAACGUAGGGAAACUUACGCUAAUACCGCAUACGACCUACGGGUGAAAGCAGGGGAUCUUCGGACCUUGCGCGAUUGAUUGAGCCGAUGUCGGAUUAGCUAGUUGGCGGGGUAAAGGCCCACCAAGGCGACGAUCCGUAGCUGGUCUGAGAGGAUGAUCGGCCACACUGGAACUGAGACACGGUCCAGACUCCUACGGGAGGCAGCAGUGGGGAAUAUUGGGCAAUGGGCGCAAGCCUGAUCCAGCCAUACCGCGUGGGUGAAGAAGGUCUUCGGGUUGUAAAGCUCUGUUGUUGGGAAAGAAAAUCAGCAGGUUAAUACGCCGCUGUUCUGACGGUACCCAAAGAAUAAGCACCGGCUAACUUCGUG